Molecule: long non-coding RNA, 836 nt
Organism: Homo sapiens (human)
Lineage: Eukaryota; Metazoa; Chordata; Mammalia; Primates; Hominidae
Product: long intergenic non-protein coding RNA 1206
Source: Ensembl
CACCACGAUGCCCGGCUAAUUUUUAGUAGAGACAGGGUUUCACCAUGUUGACCAGGCUGGCCUCGAACUCCUGACCUCAUGUGAUCUGCCCGCCUGGGCCUCCCAAAGUGCUGGGAUUACAGGUGUGAGCCACUGCGCCCGGCCAAGAUGUGGUGUUUCUAAUGGCAGGCACUUGAACCCAAUUGAACCCUGAGAGCUCUCUGAGAGGGCUGUGUGUCUUGGGAAUGAGAGAGUUAUGAGUUUUUCAGUGCCUUCUCUAGCUUUCUAGAAGUUGUUAUGAGUGGACCUGACUACCUAGAGAGAGUAAUACAGAAGCUCCGUGCCGAUCACAGCUACCUCAUUACCAUGUUCCUCCAAGAUGGCCGCCCCUGAGGAGAAUCAUCAACUGGGCUUUACGGAAGAGAGAAAUCCAAACGACCAUCAGCAACAAAUGAAAGACUGAAGUUGAAAGUUUCAAGAUUGUCAAGAAUGACGAGUUGGACUUGGUCUAGUUACUUCCACAGCAGCAGGAGGAACAUGUGUGUGACUCAGGAUAACUGGGGAAGCCUUGGCUAGGCUUUCCUCAUGUCAACCUACCACUCAAAGGGAGAAAACCUCCUGAUCAGAGGAAAUCCAUAAUUUUUGAAUGCUGGCCGAGGUCUGUGACCUCUGACUGAAUGGUUUCCAAGCUCCGAAUUCCUAGGUGAUGUUUUCAUUUGUUCACACUUGCUGAAGAAGGGAAAGGCUCUCUGAUUUACGUGUAAGCAAAACAAUCUAAACAGUAGGAUAAAAUCAUGUUGGAAUGGAGUUCUGUGUGGAUGCUCCUUUGAACCAAAUCAGUUCCACAACUGACCCUG